RNAcentral lists this ribosomal RNA (520 nucleotides) under uncultured Glomus. RNAcentral's name for it is "SSU rRNA". It matches the Rfam family "Eukaryotic small subunit ribosomal RNA", at positions 569 to 1090 of the family's 1831-position model. The record is from RNAcentral. Lineage: Eukaryota; Fungi; Glomeromycota; Glomeromycetes; Glomerales; Glomeraceae.
AGCAGCCGCGGUAAUUCCAGCUCCAAUAGCGUAUAUUAAAGUUGCUGCAGUUAAAAAGCUCGUAGUUGAAUUUCGGGACUAAUAUGUCGGUCGUGCCUCGGUACGUACUGGUAUUUUUGGUUUCUCCCUUCUGACGAACCUUGAUGUCAUUAAUUUGGUGUCUUGGGAAAUCAGGACUGUUACUUUGAAAAAAUUAGAGUGUUUAAAGCAGGCUCACGCUUGAAUACAUUAGCAUGGAAUAAUGAAAUAGGACGUUUGAUUCUAUUUUGUUGGUUUCUAGGAUCGACGUAAUGAUUAAUAGGGAUAGUUGGGGGCAUUAGUAUUCAAUUGUCAGAGGUGAAAUUCUUGGAUUUAUUGAAGACUAACUACUGCGAAAGCAUUUGCCAAGGAUGUUUUCAUUAAUCAAGAACGAAAGUUAGGGGAUCGAAGACGAUCAGAUACCGUCGUAGUCUUAACCAUAAACUAUGCCGACUAGGGAUCGGAUGAUGUUAAUUUUUUCAAUGACUCAUUCGGCGCCUUA